Molecule: transfer RNA, 75 nt
Filed under: bacterium
Lineage: Bacteria
Description: tRNA-Trp
Rfam family: tRNA
About the family: Transfer RNA (tRNA) molecules are approximately 80 nucleotides in length. Their secondary structure includes four short double-helical elements and three loops (D, anti-codon, and T loops).
Source: RNAcentral
ACGGCCGUAGCUCAAUGGUAGAGUCCCGGUCUCCAAAACCGGUUGUUGGGGGUUCGAGUCCCUCCGGCCGUGCCA